UACGGAGGGAGCUAGCGUUGUUCGGAAUUACUGGGCGUAAAGCGCACGUAGGCGGCUUUGCAAGUUAGAGGUGAAAGCCCGGGGCUCAACUCCGGAAUUGCCUUUAAAACUGCAUCGCUAGAGUUGUGGAGAGGUAAGUGGAAUUCCGAGUGUAGAGGUGAAAUUCGUAGAAAUUCGGAAGAACACCAGUGGCGAAGGCGACUUACUGGACACAUACUGACGCUGAGGUGCGAAAGCGUGGGGAGCAAACAGG
This 253-nucleotide ribosomal RNA is filed under the name uncultured bacterium. Its description in RNAcentral is "partial 16S ribosomal RNA". It matches the Rfam family "Bacterial small subunit ribosomal RNA", at positions 524 to 776 of the family's 1533-position model. The record is from RNAcentral.